UCCUGGCUUAGGACGAACGCUGGCGGCGUGCCUAAUACAUGCAAGUCGAACGGUCUUUCUAUGGAAGCUUGCUUCCACUGAGAAGAUGGUGGCGAACGGGUGAGUAACACGUGGGUAACCUGCCCAUAAGAGGGGGAUAACAUCCGGAAACGGGUGCUAAUACCGCAUAGUUUUCUUGAUUGCAUGAUUGAGAAAGGAAAGACGGCCUUUGUGCUGUCGCUUAUGGAUGGACCCGCGGCGUAUUAGUUAGUUGGUGAGGUAACGGCUCACCAAGACGAUGAUACGUAGCCGACCUGAGAGGGUGAUCGGCCGCAUUGGGACUGAGACACGGCCCAAACUCCUACGGGAGGCAGCAGUAGGGAAUCUUCCGCAAUGGACGAAAGUCUGACGGAGCAACGCCGCGUGAGUGAAAGAAGGUUUUCGGAUCGUAAAACUCUGUUGUCAGAGAAGAACAAGUUGGAGAGUAACUGCUCCAGCCUUGACGGUAUCUGACCAGAAAGCCACGGCUAACUACGUGCCAGCCGCGGC
RNAcentral lists this ribosomal RNA (528 nucleotides) under uncultured bacterium. Its description in RNAcentral is "bacterial SSU rRNA". It matches the Rfam family "Bacterial small subunit ribosomal RNA", at positions 17 to 518 of the family's 1533-position model. The record is from RNAcentral.